UGUGUCAUCUUUGCUAUAAAC
This 21-nucleotide non-coding RNA is filed under the name Caenorhabditis elegans. The record is from RNAcentral. Lineage: Eukaryota; Metazoa; Nematoda; Chromadorea; Rhabditida; Rhabditidae.